RNAcentral lists this ribosomal RNA (271 nucleotides) under uncultured marine eukaryote. RNAcentral describes it as "partial 18S ribosomal RNA". It matches the Rfam family "Eukaryotic small subunit ribosomal RNA", at positions 734 to 1005 of the family's 1831-position model. The record is from RNAcentral.
CUGGGCGAUUCAAGACUUUUACUUUGAGGAAAUUAGAGUGUUCACUGCAAGCGUUAGCAAUUGAAUACAUUAGCAUGGAAUAAUAAUAUAGGACCUUGGUACUAUUUUGUUGGUUUCUAGAACUAAGGUAAUGAUUAAUAGGGACAAUUGGGGGCAUUCGUAUUAACGCGUCAGAGGUGGAAUUCUUAGAUUGCGUUACGACGAACUACUGCGAAAGCAUUUGCCAAGGAUGUUUUCAUUGAUCAAGAACGAAAGUAUGGGGAUCGAAGAC